AUAUGAACAGAAAGACAUACAGAGAGACAGAACCAGCCUUAUGCUGUCUGUCUAGGUCAGUGUGUAUGUGCAUGUGCACACUUGUGUGUAUGGAGGGGGGCUGAUACAGACAGACAGAGACAGACUUAAUACGAACAACCUCUAGAGGGGGAAAACACUACUGUGGCUGGCUGCUGGAACUACACAGACAGCAGUGUCUCUCUAGAGGAGUGGCUGCUGGAACUACACUGACAACAGUGUCUCUCUAGAGGGGUGGCUGCUGGAACUACACAGACAACAGUUUCUCUCUAGAGGAGUGGCUGCUGGAACUACACUGACAGCAGUGUGUCUCUCUAGAGGGGUGGCUGCUGGAACUACAGAGACAACAGUGUGUCUCUCUAGAGGGGUGGCUGCUGGAACUACACAGACAACAGUGUCUCUCUAGAGGAGUGACUGCUGGAACUAGAACUAGAACUGGUCGAGACAAGAAGGUGAUAGUAUGGGGUGCCUUGCAGUAGUUCUGAGGCCAGUGUGACCCCUGAUGAACCCCCCAGUCAUCCAGACCUGUUUCUCCAUAUUAGAUGUAGGAGACUCAGCCACUGCUGUCUCCUUCUGCCUCGACAACAGUCAGAGUCACGCGUUGAUAGUGAAGAGGUUGCACUG
Long non-coding RNA from Salvelinus sp. IW2-2015, 642 nucleotides. RefSeq lists it as uncharacterized. The record is from RefSeq and is a predicted model, not a curated record. NCBI's taxonomy places the organism in Eukaryota, Metazoa, Chordata, Actinopteri, Salmoniformes, Salmonidae.